Cydia fagiglandana is the source of this 631-nucleotide long non-coding RNA. RefSeq lists it as uncharacterized. NCBI's taxonomy places the organism in Eukaryota, Metazoa, Arthropoda, Insecta, Lepidoptera, Tortricidae. The transcript has 2 exons. The record is from RefSeq and is a predicted model, not a curated record.
AAAGACGGAACCAAUCUGUAUGUAUAUACUUACAAGUUACAACUCAACUAAAAAAAUAAUUUUCAAAAUCGAUCCCAAAAUGACGGAGAUAUCAAACAUUAAAAAACCGAAUUAAUACCUCCUUUUUAGGGUUCCGUAGCCAAAUGGCAAAAAACGGAACCCUUAUAGAUUUGUCAUGUCUGUCUGUCUGUCCGUCCGUAUGUCACAGCCACUUUUUUCCGAAACUAUAAGAACUGUUGAAACUUGGUAAGUAGAUGUAUUCUGUGAACCGCAUUAAGAUUUCAACACAAAAAUAGAAAAAAAAACAAUAAAUUUUGGGGGUCCCCCAUACUUAGAACUGAAACUUAAAAUGUCUUUUUCAUUAAACCCAUACGUGUGGGGUAUCUAUGGAUAGGUCUUCAAAAAUUAUAUUGAGGUUUCUAAUAUCAUUUUCUUCUAAACUGAAUAGUUUGCGCGAGAGACACUUCCAAAGUGGUAAAAUGUGUGCCCCCCCCCCCUGUAACUUCUAAAAUAAGAGAAUGAUAAAACUAAAAAAAAUAUAUGAUGUACAUUACCUUGCAAACUUCCACCGAAAAUUGGUUUGAACAAGAUUUGGUAAGUAGUUUUUUUUUAAUACGUCAUAAACCGUAAA